Molecule: ribosomal RNA, 449 nt
Filed under: uncultured bacterium
Lineage: Bacteria
Description: bacterial SSU rRNA
Rfam family: Bacterial small subunit ribosomal RNA
Source: RNAcentral
UGGGGAAUCUUGCGCAAUGGGCGAAAGCCUGACGCAGCAACGCCGCGUGCGGGAUGAAGGCCUUCGGGUUGUAAACCGCUUUCAGUGGGGACGAACCAAGACGGUACCCACAGAAGAAGCCCCGGCCAACUACGUGCCAGCAGCCGCGGUAACACGUAGGGGGCAAGCGUUGUCCGGAUUCAUUGGGCGUAAAGAGCUCGUAGGCGGUUCGAUAAGUCGGGUGUGAAACCUCCAGGCUCAACCUGGAGACGCCACCCGAUACUGUCGUGACUAGAGUCCAGUAGGGGAGCGUGGAAUUCCUGGUGUAGCGGUGAAAUGCGCAGAUAUCAGGAGGAACACCAGCGGCGAAGGCGGCGCUCUGGGCUGGAACUGACGCUGAUCCGCGAAAGCGUGGGGAGCAAACAGGAUUAGAUACCCUUGUAGUCCCUGAGCGGGCUGGCAAGGCGCAU